CCACUGCUUGAUGGGCCGAAGU
RNAcentral lists this microRNA (22 nucleotides) under Branchiostoma lanceolatum (amphioxus). RNAcentral's name for it is "Bla-Novel-12_3p (mature (guide))". The record is from RNAcentral. Lineage: Eukaryota; Metazoa; Chordata; Leptocardii; Amphioxiformes; Branchiostomatidae.